RNAcentral lists this ribosomal RNA (393 nucleotides) under uncultured bacterium. RNAcentral's name for it is "bacterial SSU rRNA". It matches the Rfam family "Bacterial small subunit ribosomal RNA", at positions 28 to 414 of the family's 1533-position model. The record is from RNAcentral.
GAUGAACGCUGGCGGCGUGCCUAAUACAUGCAAGUCGAACGAGGUGCUUUUGUAGCAAUACGAAAGUAUCCUAGUGGCGAACGGGUGAGUAACGCGUUGGUGACCUACCCCAAAGUGUGGGAUAACAGUUCGAAAGAACUGCUAAUACCGCAUGUGGUUAUCGGGUUUAGAAACUGAUAACUAAAGGAGCAAUUCGCUUUGGGAGGGACCUGCGUCCCAUCAGCUAGUUGGUGAGGUAAUGGCUCACCAAGGCUACGACGGGUAGGGGACCUGAGAGGGUGACCCCCCCANAAUGGAACUGAAACACGGUCCAUACACCUACGGGUGGCAGCAGUAGGGAAUAUGCACAAUGGGCGAAAGCCUGAUGCAGCAACGCCGNGUGUGCGAUGAAGG